GCACAAUGGGGGAAACCCUGAUGCAGCAACGCCGCGUGGAGGAUGACGCAUUUCGGUGUGUAAACUCCUUUUAUAUGUCAAGAAAAUGACGGUAGCAUAUGAAUAAGCACCGGCUAACUCCGUGCCAGCAGCCGCGGUAAUACGGAGGGUGCAAGCGUUACUCGGAAUCACUGGGCGUAAAGGACGCGUAGGCGGGUUGGAAAGUCAGAUGUGAAAUCCUACAGCUUAACUGUAGAACUGCAUUUGAAACUUCUAAUCUAGAGUAUGGGAGGGGGAGAUGGAAUUAGUGGUGUAGGGGUAAAAUCCGUAGAUAUCACUAGGAAUACCGAAAGCGAAGGCGAUCUCCUGGAACAUAACUGACGCUAAGGCGUGAAAGCGUGGGGAGCAAACAGGAUUAGAUACCCUGGUAGUCCACGCCCUAAACGAUGAACACUAGUCGUCGGGAUGCUAGUCAUCUCGGUGAUGCACUUAACAGAUUAAGUGUUCCGCCUGGGGAGUACGGUCGCAAGAUUAAAACUCAAAGGAAUAGACGGGGACCCGCACAAGUGGUGGAGCAUGUGGUUUAAUUCGAAGAUACGCGAAGAACCUUACCUAGCCUUGACAUUGAUUGAACACACUAGAGAUAGAGUGGUGCCCUUCGGGGAACAUGAAAACAGGUGCUGCACGGCUGUCGUCAGCUCGUGUCGUGAGAUGUUGGGUUAAGUCCCGCAACGAGCGCAACCCUCGUCCUUAGUUGCUAGCAGUUCGGCUGAGCACUCUAAGGAGACUGCCUUCGUAAGGAGGAGGAAGGUGAGGACGACGUCAAGUCAUCAUGGCCCUUAUGGCUAGGGCUACACACGUGCUACAAUGGGGCGUACAGAGUGUUGCGAUACCGCGAGGUGGAGCUAAUCACUUAAAGCGUCUCUCAGUUCGGAUUGGAGUCUGCAACUCGACUCCAUGAAGCUGGAAUCACUAGUAAUCGUAGAUCAGCAAUGCUACGGUGAAUACGU
Molecule: ribosomal RNA, 989 nt
Filed under: uncultured bacterium
Lineage: Bacteria
Description: bacterial SSU rRNA
Rfam family: Bacterial small subunit ribosomal RNA
Source: RNAcentral